GAAAAGAUGAAAAAAGAAAAAAGGUUGGUUAUGGGAUUGACAACGUGAACGAGAAUUCUACGUGAACGUGGAGCGUAAAAAAUAUUCUCCAUGUUUACAAGCUUAUGUUGAUAUCUAUUAUUCAUGAUUUAGUGUAAUAAGGAUCACUUAUUAAGAUAUGCUAGUUUCAACAUUUUGUAAUAGAUACAAAGCGUCUCAUUGGCGUCUAACCUCAAGGGCGAAUCCGCUAAGAAAGGUGCAAAUAAUGAAUAUGUACUGAAAUAGUGUACUUAUUUAUUAACAUAUUAAAAUUAGAAUUACAAGAGAUGUUCAAAAUGCCCUCCCUCACAUUCCAAGCAAUAUGCAAGACGGUUUUUAAAUUCCUCUACAGCAUGUCUGAGGAAUUGAGGAUUUAUUGAAUUACAUGCUGUAGCCCCAAAGAAAAAAGUCAUUUGGUGACAGUGAUAUUUGUUCGUGACCAAUAUCAAAAAUUUUAUGAUACUAACCGAAAGUUUUGGGAGUUGACUGAUCCAUGUAAUGUAAAAGUAGCCUUAUCUGUGAAUAUUAUGUUGUGCAAGAGGUCAUUGUUAUUAUUAAUUAAAUUAAAUAUAAAUAUUCACAAAAUAC
Long non-coding RNA from Sitophilus oryzae (rice weevil), 606 nucleotides. RefSeq lists it as uncharacterized. The record is from RefSeq and is a predicted model, not a curated record. Lineage: Eukaryota; Metazoa; Arthropoda; Insecta; Coleoptera; Curculionidae. The transcript is spliced from 3 exons.